CAGCAGCCGCGGUAAUACGUAGGGUGCGAGCGUUAAUCGGAAUUACUGGGCGUAAAGCGUGCGCAGGCGGUUUUGUAAGACAGGCGUGAAAUCCCCGGGCUCAACCUGGGAAUGGCGCUUGUGACUGCAAAGCUAGAGUGCGGCAGAGGGGGAUGGAAUUCCGCGUGUAGCAGUGAAAUGCGUAGAUAUGCGGAGGAACACCGAUGGCGAAGGCAAUCCCCUGGGCCUGCACUGACGCUCAUGCACGAAAGCGUGGGGAGCAGACAGGAUUAGAUACCCCCGUAGUCCCUGUCUCUUAUAC
RNAcentral lists this ribosomal RNA (301 nucleotides) under uncultured bacterium. RNAcentral's name for it is "partial 16S ribosomal RNA". It matches the Rfam family "Bacterial small subunit ribosomal RNA", at positions 509 to 807 of the family's 1533-position model. The record is from RNAcentral.